Molecule: ribosomal RNA, 652 nt
Filed under: uncultured bacterium
Lineage: Bacteria
Description: bacterial SSU rRNA
Rfam family: Bacterial small subunit ribosomal RNA
Source: RNAcentral
CGUAAAGCGCGUGCAGGGCGGUUUGGUAAGUUGGAUGUGAAAGCUCCCGGCUCAACUGGGAGACGUCGUUCAAUACUGCCAGGUAGAGGAUUGGUAGAGGGAGGUGGAAUUCCCGGUGUAGUGGUGAAAUGCGUAGAUAUCGGGAGGAACACCCAGUGGCGAAGGCGGCCUCCUGGGCCCAUUCCUGACGCUCAGACGCGAAAGCUAGGGGAGCGAACGGGAUUAGAAACCCCGGUAGUCCUAGCUGUAAACGAUGUGGACUUGGCGUUGGUGGGGUAUAAGCCAUCAGUGCCGUAGCUAACGCGAUAAGUCCACCGCCUGGGGACUACGGUCGCAAGGCUAAAACUCAAAGGAAUUGACGGGGACCCGCACAAGCAGCGGAGCGUGUGGUUUAAUUCGAUGCUACGCGAAGAACCUUACCCGGGUUUGAUAUACUGGUGGUAGGGAUCCGAAAGGUGACCGACCCUUCGGGGAGCCAGUACAGGUGCUGCAUGGCUGUCGUCAGCUCGUGCCGUGAGGUGUCCGGUUAAGUCCGGUAACGAGCGCAACCCUCGCCGCAUGUUAUACGUAUCAUACGGGACUGCCGGUAUAAAGCCGGAGGAAGGUGGGGAUGACGUCAAGUCAGCAUGGCCUUUAUGUCCGGGGCUACACA